UACAGAGGUCCCAAGCGUUGUUCGGAUUCACUGGGCGUAAAGGGUGCGUAGGCGGUCGGGUAAGUCUGAUGUGAAAUCUCACAGCUUAACUGUGAAACUGCAUUGGAUACUAUCCGGCUCGAGGAAUGGAGGGGAGACUGGAAUUCCUGGUGUAGCGGUGGAAUGCGCAGAUAUCAGGAGGAACACCGGUGGCGAAGGCGGGUCUCUGGGCCGAUACUGACGCUGAGGAGCGAAAGCGUGGGGAGCGAACAGG
This 253-nucleotide ribosomal RNA is filed under the name uncultured bacterium. RNAcentral describes it as "partial 16S ribosomal RNA". It matches the Rfam family "Bacterial small subunit ribosomal RNA", at positions 524 to 776 of the family's 1533-position model. The record is from RNAcentral.